This 1277-nucleotide ribosomal RNA is filed under the name metagenome. RNAcentral describes it as "bacterial LSU rRNA". It matches the Rfam family "Bacterial large subunit ribosomal RNA", at positions 1654 to 2925 of the family's 2925-position model. The record is from RNAcentral.
CCGACACUGGUGCGCGAGAUGAGUAUUCUAAGGCGCUUGAGAGAACUCAGGAGAAGGAACUCGGCAAAUUGACACCGUAACUUCGGAAGAAGGUGUGCCCUAUUAGUGUGAAGUGAACAACGGAGCAUGAAUGGGUUGCAAAAAAUCGGUGGCUGCGACUGUUUAUUAAAAACACAGCACUCUGCAAACACGAAAGUGGACGUAUAGGGUGUGACGCCUGCCCGGUGCUGGAAGAUUAAAUGAUGGGGUGCAAGCUCUUGAUUGAAGUCCCAGUAAACGGCGGCCGUAACGAUAACGGUCCUAAGGUAGCGAAAUUCCUUGUCGGGUAAGUUCCGACCUGCACGAAUGGCGUAACGAUGGCCACACUGUCUCCUCCUGAGACUCAGCGAAGUUGAAAUGUUUGUGAUGAUGCAAUCUCCCCGCGGAAAGACGGAAAGACCCCAUGAACCUUUACUGUAGCUUUGUAUUGGACUUUGAACAGAUCUGUGUAGGAUAGGUGGGAGGCUUUGAAGCAGGGUCGCUAGAUCUUGUGGAGCCAACGUUGAAAUACCACCCUGGUGUGUUUGAGGUUCUAACCUAGGUCCAUUAUCUGGAUCGGGGACAGUGCAUGGUAGGCAGUUUGACUGGGGCGGUCUCCUCCCAAAGCGUAACGGAGGAGUUCGAAGGUACGCUAGUUACGGUCGGACAUCGUGACGAUAGUGCAAUGGCAUAAGCGUGCUUAACUGCGAGACUGACAAGUCGAGCAGAUGCGAAAGCAGGACAUAGUGAUCCGGUGGUUCUGUAUGGAAGGGCCAUCGCUCAACGGAUAAAAGGUACUCUGGGGAUAACAGGCUGAUACCGCCCAAGAGUUCAUAUCGACGGCGGUGUUUGGCACCUCGAUGUCGGCUCAUCUCAUCCUGGGGCUGUAGCCGGCCCCAAGGGUAUGGCUGUUCGCCAUUUAAAGAGGUACGUGAGCUGGGUUUAAAACGUCGUGAGACAGUUUGGUCCCUAUCUUCCGUGGGCGCUGCAGAUUUGAGGAAGCCUGCUCCUAGUACGAGAGGACCGGAGUGGACACACCUCUGGUGUAUCGGUUGUCACGCCAGUGGCAUUGCCGAGUAGCUAAGUGUGGAAGAGAUAACCGCUGAAAGCAUCUAAGCGGGAAACUCGUUUCAAGAUGAGAUCUGCCGGGGCCUUGAGCCCCCUGAAGAGUCGUUCAAGACCAGGACGUUGAUAGGUCAGGUGUGGAAGCGCAGUAAUGCGUUAAGCUAACUGAUACUAAUUGCUCGUGCGGCUUGACC